This 492-nucleotide ribosomal RNA is filed under the name uncultured bacterium. Its description in RNAcentral is "partial 16S ribosomal RNA". It matches the Rfam family "Bacterial small subunit ribosomal RNA", at positions 30 to 507 of the family's 1533-position model. The record is from RNAcentral.
AUUGAACGCUGGCGGCAUGCUUUAUACAUGCAAGUCGAACGGUAACAGGCCUUCGGGUGCUGACGAGUGGCGAACGGGUGAGUAAUGCAUCGGAACGUGCCCAGAGGUGGGGGAUAACGCAGCGAAAGCUGUGCUAAUACCGCAUGUGAUCUGAGGAUGAAAGCGGGGGACCAGGCAGCAAUGUUUGGCCUCGCGCCUUUGGAGCGGCCGAUGUCAGAUUAGGUAGUUGGUGGGGUAAAGGCCUACCAAGCCGACGAUCUGUAGCUGGUCUGAGAGGACGACCAGCCACACUGGGACUGAGACACGGCCCAGACUCCUACGGGAGGCAGCAGUGGGGAAUUUUGGACAAUGGGCGCAAGCCUGAUCCAGCAAUGCCGCGUGCGGGAAGAAGGCCUUCGGGUUGUAAACCGCUUUUGUACGGAACGAAAAGGCUCUGGCUAAUACCUGGGGCUGAUGACGGUACCGUAAGAAUAAGCACCGGCUAACUACGUG